GGAUGCGAGGGUGAUCUAGCUGCAACAUCUGUCACCUCAUUGAUCGCCAGUGUUGAUUUGGCUGAUCUGGCUGAUCUUCUUCCUUUAUGGCUCCAUGUGCCUCCCUCCUGAAGCUGCAUGCUUGGUGAAGAGCAUGAGCUUCUCUCACAGAGGAGGACCUUCCUUCCAUCAAGAAUAAACGAGUAGCUGUGCUCCCCUGCCAGAACCUCCAAACAAGCACAAAAGGUCCAAAGACCCUGAGCAAAUGAAAAGGCACAGACAAAAAGAUAUAUAUUU
Molecule: unclassified non-coding RNA, 276 nt
Organism: Rhinopithecus bieti (black snub-nosed monkey)
Lineage: Eukaryota; Metazoa; Chordata; Mammalia; Primates; Cercopithecidae
Gene: 7SK
Rfam family: 7SK RNA
About the family: 7SK was discovered as an abundant small nuclear RNA in the mid-70s but a possible function has only recently been suggested. Two independent studies have found that 7SK RNA binds the CDK9/cyclin T complex (known as elongation factor P-TEFb).
Source: Ensembl